CAAACCUGCACAGAUUGUUUAUAAUGCAAAAUGUUAGGUAUCCUAAAUACAGUGGAAAGGACCUGAAUGAUCAUGCCUCACACUGCUUUUUAUGCUUGUUUCUUAACCAACGUUUAUGUACUUCAAGCAAAAGUGGCCUCCUCCGCCUGCUUCACCCAACAGUAAUGAGUUUGGUUUAUCAGAUUCUGGGGAUCCCACUUGCCCCGCACACCAUAAAAAACAUCUAAUUUGGUGGUCCUGAUGAAACGUGCUUUCUGUUUCAUGUUCCCCAGCGAGAUAAGGCGGCUAUCGGGGCAGGAAGCCUUCUUGGAAAUCACCGUGGGCUUGGCACUGCCGUGCAUCGAGGUAGCCAUGGAAACCUGCUCUCAAAGCCGGCGCCGGCUGAUAAGAGCCUCGAGUGCCACCGGCUGUGUCCGGCCGGGAGAAGGUGAGCAGGAAAGCAAUACCUGCUCAACAUACUUCCACCAGUGAGUCUGUACAACUGUAACACUAGUCUUACCCUGCAGAAGUCUGCCCAGAUCUGGUCCACACCAACCAACGUGUUGCUGCAGUGGCUCCUCUGAAAUUCUCUGUUCUGGAAGGAGACCAUACAUAAAAGCAGCUUUCCUACAGUGGGGAAGGAGAUUUGCAUUCAACAAGUGGUUUAUUUUGUCGUGAUUUUCCUGCAAAGACAAAUUUUAACCUUGUAGGUAGUUCCCAGGUGGCUCCUCGGGGUGUGAUUGCAAGAAAUGUUGGGGAAGGAUGGCAGUGUUUGUGUUAUACUUCCACUGGUGGGCCCACCUUGCCCUGAGUAGCCACUGCUGCAGGAUCAAGGCAAGAAAGGGUUUGAUUCAUCUCAGAGAUACAUUUCUAGCUUGCAUGAGCAUCCAAGUUACAAGUAAAGACCUGUGGAGGUCAGGUGCACAAAGCUAGUAUAGUUUUUGUGCAAAUAUUAGGCAAAUGGGAGCACAGCCACAGAAGUUUUACACCUAUAAAUUUCAAGCCUGGGUCAUUUAUCCAUGUUAAAAAGAAAAAAAGGUUGUGUGGUAAAGUUCUCAUUUUGGUUAUGAAAUUCUCCCAGUGACAUAAAUCUUGUUCCUGCCAGGGCAGAAUUAUCCCUCGUGUCAGUGGGGUUCCUGCCCUCCUGGGGGAAGAGAGAGGUGACAGCAGAGAGCCUCCAUGCAGCCAUCAAGCAGAGACUUCCUGUAAUGCCUUUGUUAAUAGUGUGUUUCUGGGAGCGGGUCCAGGCCCGUUUAAAAGCGUAAAUACUGUUUUACUGUUAUUCCUUGGGUUGAGUUUUGAUCCACGAGGCUUUAUCUUUGGACACAGCCAUUUCCCAGAGCUGUGUCCCUGUCCUCAUGAUGAAGGGCUCUGCAGUACAUCCUUUGGUUCUCUAAAACACGGCACGCUUUGCAGACCUAAAACAUUUCCUGGCUGAUUGAUGGCAACUCAUUUAAUGCAACGUGUAGGUCUAAAACUAUGAAUAUAUUGA
Molecule: long non-coding RNA, 1471 nt
Filed under: Anas platyrhynchos platyrhynchos (common mallard)
Lineage: Eukaryota; Metazoa; Chordata; Aves; Anseriformes; Anatidae
Description: lncRNA (ENSAPLG00000027413.1)
Source: RNAcentral